RNAcentral lists this long non-coding RNA (1765 nucleotides) under Nicotiana benthamiana. Its description in RNAcentral is "long non-coding RNA (NBEN_LNC004859)". Lineage: Eukaryota; Viridiplantae; Streptophyta; Magnoliopsida; Solanales; Solanaceae. The record is from RNAcentral.
UAAAUGAUGAAAAAUUAUUACUUGCUUCAAAGAAAAGAAUUCAAAACUUUAAAUUGCCAAAAUUCUAUAACACAUGAAAUUACAUCUCAAUUUAAACGAAAAUUCUACAACACUGCCAUGAAUUAAUAAAGCUCGAAUCUAAGGGGAAUUAUAAAUUACAUGCCUUGAUAAAUUGAAACUAACUGAUGAUGCAAUAACAAUGUCAACUGCUCAAUGACCAACUCAAGAUGUCAAUCUUUGGAUUUGAACCUGCACCAAAUGGAUUUCAAUCGGUUCCAAUGGUUAUUUAUUGACCUGGACAAAAGUAACCAUGGCAUUUAAUCAAAAAAAACAAGAAGCUAGCCUAAGACUUGAAAAAGGAGCUAAACAUGACAAAAAAAUCCCUUAUAAUUCAUAAAAAUGACCAAGAGACAAAAUCAAAUUCUUAACUAGAACAAUAGACAUAGCAUGACAAGAUCAUCAGCUCGCAGGCCUUCUUUCAACAACUUUUAAAAUUCUACCAUUGGCUUGUGGCCUGCCAAUCUAACCAACAAUGGUCAUAUCCGCAAAACUUUAACCAAAUUAUUAAUUAGUAGAUACUUUCCAUUUUUCAGAAUCUUAAAAAAAUCGACAUGCUCGAACCAACCUGUUUAUAGUCAAGAUUUUCCUACUAUGAAUUAAAACCAAAGGACAAUACUAAUAACAAUCAAACACAAUCAUGUUUCUAAAAGAAAGAGAAGAAGAAUAAAGCAUGAUAACAUGUUUCAAUCCAACUACUGAAUACUAAUAAACCAUUUCCAUUGUUUUCUUACUUCAACCACUACUCAAACUAAAAAAAUGAAUAGAACACAAUUAAAACAUAUUUGCAACUUUAAAUCAACUGAAAAUUCCAAAAUAAUGACAAGAAUGCACAAUCUAACUUCAUUCACACUCAAAUGUUUAAGGAAAUCAGAUUUUCAUUCAAAACAAAACUCUAACCAAGCAUAUAAUGUUCAGAAAAAAUACCUAGAAAAAAGGAAAAAUCAGCUUAAAGAAACAAGGAAAUUUUCAGUAGCUCAGCUCAACAAACAACAGCGAAUCAAACCUCAAAGCUUUGUUUCAAUCUCUGAAAAACUCCCAGCAAAACCCCAAAAAAUAGAAAGAAACUGAAAAACUUUCAUCUAAAUCUUUUGGAAAGAGCCGAUUUUCAACCAUUUGUGUUUUUCACCCUUUUUUUCGUGCCCUAAUGAUUGGAAAGAGGGUCUUUUAUAGAGGAAAUUUAGGGCAAUAAAAUCAGAUUUUCUUAAUUCAAAUACACCCUUUAAACUUUUACUUUAAAACACUUACACCCCUGCCCCAAAGAAUUUUUCCCCUCUUUUAUCUCUAAUAUGACCAUUGUCAGCUUCCUAGAAGCUUUCUAUAGACUUUCUUACACCUUAUCCAAUUUCAAAACCCCAGCAGCCCUGCUUUUUCGCCCUUUUUCUUUUUUUUUUCAUUGUUCUAUCGGUUUAAAACCAAUGGUACUGGACUUGGGCCAUUCUAUCUUUAGGCCCAGUAAUUCUUGGGCUUUCGCACCGAAGUUCCAAAACCAAAAACCAAACAACCUUAAAUAUAACUUAGAACAACAUUCAAUUAACCAAAACCUAACUGAGGCAUCUUUUAAGAAAAUAAUUAAAACUAAUUAACGAGCUAUUAAUCAUCGAUUAAUUCAUUAUGCCCUAAAAUAACUCUAAUUACUCUUAGACAUAAAAGAAAAAUAAAAAGAUUCCAGUAGAUGAAUGUGAAGGAAAAUGGGGAAGAAUUAUAC